Molecule: ribosomal RNA, 581 nt
Filed under: Pichia kluyveri
Lineage: Eukaryota; Fungi; Ascomycota; Pichiomycetes; Pichiales; Pichiaceae
Description: eukaryotic LSU rRNA
Rfam family: Eukaryotic large subunit ribosomal RNA
Source: RNAcentral
AACAAGUGAUGCAUCGUAGCGGCGAGUGAGCGGCAGAGCUCAGAUUUGAAAUCUCACCUAGUGUGCGAGUUGUAAAUUGCAGGUUGGAGUCUCGGGUUAGACGUGUGUGCAAGUCCCUUGGAACAGGGUGCCACUGAGGGUGAGAGCCCCGUAGCGUGCAUGUCGACACCUGUGAGGCCCUUCUGACGAGUCGAGUUGUUUGGGAAUGCAGCUCUAAGUGGGUGGUAAAUUCCAUCUAAGGCUAAAUAUUGGCGAGAGACCGAUAGCGAACAAGUACUGUGAAGGAAAGAUGAAAAGCACUUUGAAAAGAGAGUGAAACAGCACGUGAAAUUGUUGAAAGGGAAGGGUAUUGGGCUCGACAUGGGAUUUACGCAUCGUUGCCUCUCGUGGGCGGCGCUCUGGGUUUUUCCUGGGCCAGCAUCGGUUUUCGUUGCAGGAUAAGGACAAUUGGAAUGUGGCUCCUCGGAGUGUUAUAGCCUUUUGUAGAUGCUGCGUAUGGGGACCGAGGGCUGCGGCGGACUCGUUUCGUCUCGGAUGCUGGCACAACGGCGCAAUACCGCCCGUCUUGAAACACGGACCCA